GACAGAGGUGCCAAGCGUUAGGCGGAAUCACUGGGCUUAAAGCGCACGUAGGCGGCAUCGUAAGUGUCCGGUGAAAUCCCACGGCUCACCCGUGGAACUGCCUGGCAGACUGCGAUGCUCGAGUGUGGUAGGGGAGAGCGGAACUCCUGGUGGAGCGGUGAAAUGCGUAGAUAUCAGGAGGAACACCGGUGGCGAAGGCGGCUCUCUGGUCCACAACUGACGCUGAGGUGCGAAAGCUAGGGGAGCAAACGGG
This 253-nucleotide ribosomal RNA is filed under the name uncultured bacterium. RNAcentral describes it as "partial 16S ribosomal RNA". It matches the Rfam family "Bacterial small subunit ribosomal RNA", at positions 524 to 776 of the family's 1533-position model. The record is from RNAcentral.